UUGAACGCUGGCGGCAGGCCUAACACAUGCAAGUCGAGCGGUAGAGAGAAGCUUGCUUCUCUUGAGAGCGGCGGACGGGUGAGUAACGCGUAGGAAUCUGCCCGGUAGUGGGGGAUAGCCCAGAGAAAUUUGGAUUAAUACCGCAUACGCCCUAAGGGGGAAAGCAGGGGAUCUUCGGACCUUGCGCUAUCGGAUGAGCCUGCGUGAGAUUAGCUUGUUGGUGAGGUAAUGGCUCACCAAGGCGACGAUCUCUAGCUGGUCUGAGAGGAUGAUCAGCCACACCGGAACUGAGACACGGUCCGGACUCCUACGGGAGGCAGCAGUGGGGAAUAUUGGACAAUGGGCGCAAGCCUGAUCCAGCCAUGCCGCGUGUGUGAAGAAGGCCUUCGGGUUGUAAAGCACUUUCAGUAGGGAGGAAAGGUUGUAAGCUAAUAUCUUGCAGCUGUGACGUUACCUACAGAAGAAGGACCGGCUAACUCCGU
Molecule: ribosomal RNA, 482 nt
Filed under: uncultured Oceanospirillum sp.
Lineage: Bacteria; Pseudomonadati; Pseudomonadota; Gammaproteobacteria; Oceanospirillales; Oceanospirillaceae
Description: bacterial SSU rRNA
Rfam family: Bacterial small subunit ribosomal RNA
Source: RNAcentral